AGCAGCCGCGGUAAUUCCAGCUCCAAUAGCGUAUAUUAAAGUUGUUGCAGUUAAAAAGCUCGUAGUUGAACUUCGGGGUUUACCCAUCGGUCAGGCUUAAUUGUCUGUACUGGUGAGAUAAAUCUCUACCUUCUGAGGAACUUUCAUGCCAUUUAUUUGGUGUGAUUGGAAAUCAGGACUAUUACUUUGAAAAAUUAGAGUGUUUAAGGCAGGCUAACGUCUGAAUAUAUUAGCAUGGAAUAAUGAAAUAGGACGGCUUGGUUCUAUUUCGUUGGUUUCUAGGAUCACCGUAAUGAUUAAUAGGGAUAGUUGGGGGCAUUAGUAUUCAAUUGUCAGAGGUGAAAUUCUUGGAUUUAUUGAAGACUAACUACUGCGAAAGCAUUUGCCAAGGAUGUUUUCAUUAAUCAAGAACGAAAGUUAGGGGAUUGAAGACGAUCAGAUACCGUCGUA
RNAcentral lists this ribosomal RNA (450 nucleotides) under uncultured Diversispora. RNAcentral's name for it is "SSU rRNA". It matches the Rfam family "Eukaryotic small subunit ribosomal RNA", at positions 569 to 1022 of the family's 1831-position model. The record is from RNAcentral. Lineage: Eukaryota; Fungi; Glomeromycota; Glomeromycetes; Diversisporales; Diversisporaceae.